Molecule: long non-coding RNA, 1225 nt
Organism: Lotus japonicus
Lineage: Eukaryota; Viridiplantae; Streptophyta; Magnoliopsida; Fabales; Fabaceae
Exons: 3
Source: RefSeq, a predicted model, not a curated record
GUCUUAACGACCUUUUAUGGAGAAGCUUCCUUCAUGAUAGUUGUAGCUCUCUGAGUUAGCUAAAUUCUCCAACUGAUUUCGUGUCAAUCCGAUGUCUGUAGCUCAAGAUAAUUGAAUUUUAGUGAGCAAAGGUCUGGCUGUACAGUGCCAGGGAAAGGACUGGUUGUACAGUGCCAACAGGUCUGCCUGUACAGUGUACAGUCCAAAUUUACCUUUGAUUUUAGAGAAAGAGGAGGGGAAUUCAGUUUUUUAAAGAGUGAUAAGAUUGAGAUAGAAACCCUAUUCUACACACACACAUUCACUUUGAAACAGAAAGAAAGAAAAAGAGAGAAAGACCGUAAGAGAGAAAGAAAGACCGAGAAAGAGAGAAAGAAGGAGAAACGAGAAAGAGAAGAAGAAGAGGCCGAGAGAGAUCAAGGGAGAUCAAGGGCAAGGGACUAUCUUCCUCAUCUUUCAUCUUUCAUCUUUUCUUCUCAAGUUUAAGGCAAAGAUGGUCGUGAAUAUAACGGCGACGACCCAUUCUUAGGAGCUGAUACUCCGUGACGAGCCACUACCGGAUGACGACUACACUUCUGAUGAAGAGGAAGGAGAUAAAGAGGAAGAGGCCAAGGAAUAGGAUUGGGUUGAGAGACAUUCAUUUUUCUCUUUGGGUUGAGAGUACUGAGUUCGGGAAGCAUUGAACAAUUAUUUUGCUUUCAUUUGGAUUAAUUGGUUACUGUGUGACACUCGAGAAAUCGGGGCGUUACACCUAUUCAAGGGAUGAAUGAUCCAUUGCAUGAAAAUCAAGGGAUGAAUGAUCCAGUUGCAGAUCCAGUGUAGGAAAAUCAAGCUAAUGGAAGAGACAGUGCAUGACAAGUAGAGGAGAAGAAUCAGGUUCCAGCUACUAUAGAGAGAGAAGUUGGGAGACAAUAAUUGAAGAGGAGCCUGAAAGUUUCUGUUUGCUUUUUAUUUGCUUCAAAGGGAAUCUUUCCUUUGAAUAUGAUGUAAUAGUUUAUUAGACAUACACAUGGCAACAUGGUGUUUUUAAUGUUGGCUCUUUAAUGUUUGAAUGUGGACAACUAAUGCCAUUUGGCCUCUUUAGGAUUUGUAGUGGAUGGACCACUAUCAUUUUGUAAUACUAUUUAGGCUACUAUUUAAACAUGUGGCACUGCCUUUUCUGACUAAGUUAUGAAGCUGAUGUUAAUGUACCUUCCUCUUCUUUAAUACAGUAUAAAUCAUUAAUACC